This is a long non-coding RNA of Mirounga angustirostris (Northern elephant seal), 8794 nucleotides long. RefSeq lists it as uncharacterized. The record is from RefSeq and is a predicted model, not a curated record. The transcript is spliced from 2 exons. NCBI's taxonomy places the organism in Eukaryota, Metazoa, Chordata, Mammalia, Carnivora, Phocidae.
AUGGGUAUUAAAGAGGGCAAGUACUGAAUGGAGCACUGGGUGUUAUACGCAAACAAUGAAUCAUGGAACACUCUAUCAAAAACUAAUGAUGUAAUGUAUGGUAGUUAACAUAACGAAAAAAUUUUAAAAAUCCUAAAAAAAAAAGAAGAAGUGCUAGGAUUCCUUUAGGGGUGCCUGAGUGGCUCAGUUGGUUAAGCAUCCAACUCUUGGCUUCAGCUCAGGUCAUGAUCUCAGGGUCAUGAGAUCGAGCCCCACAUCGGGCCCCCACUCAGUGGAGAGUUGGCUUGAGAUUCUCUCGCUUCCUCUCCUUCUGCCUCUCCCACGUGCUGUCUCUGUCUCUCUCUAAAAUAAAUAAUUUUUUUUAAGAAAAUGCUAGGAUUCCUUGAGCAUUCUGAGCUCAGUGUUUCCUACCAUCCAGUCCUGUACUUGCUCUGAAGUAUCCUAAGCCUCAUAAAAUUAUCACCUCUCUCUUUCUCAGUCGACAAACAUUUUUAGCUUCAACUAUAAUUGUAGUGAUACGGUGGCCUAAUAACGGAGGGCAUAAGAAUAAAUCUAGACCCUCAAGAUUGACACUAGUAAGAAAGCCACCUUGCUUGGAAGGCUAACUGAAAUGUCUUGGCUCCAAAACUUUGUUUCUGCAGCUUCACCUUUUCUUUGAUUGGCAGUAAUUGCUGCCAGUAUUGUAGGGUUGAGGUGCAAAAUGUCAUUCCUUAACAUUCUAACCCAAGCUUGGAAAAUCAACGCCUCUUUUACUGCCCGACAGUACAGCUGAGAUAGCUGAGAUGAUAACAGUUUUUUAAAAAAAUAUAUAUAUAUAUAUACUUAACAAUUACAACUUUUCUGACACCAUGCCAGCCCUUUAUAAGUAAUAUUUCUUAUUUAAUCCAUUCAGUGUAACUACAGUGAGCUACCUACUAUUACUUCCCUGUUUUACAGAUGAGGAACAGAGAGGUAGAAUGUAAGUAAUGUAUCUGUUGGUUACACAGCUAGCGAAUGACAGAGCCAGGAUUCCCACCCAAGUAGUCUGACUUCACUGUUUGUCCUUUCAACGCUGUACUACUAUAUUAGUUCUUAAGACAAUUUACUAAAGUCUGUAAGGAUUCAAAAACAAAUCCAUUGUGUGAUUUGUAACUAGAUAUUCUGGCUAUGGCCCUGUUCUAUCUACAUAGUAACCUAGGAAAAAAGAUGUUUCCUGUUAAGUUCUGCCCUAGCACCAGAUCAUGGUUGUGUUGGUACCUAUUACCCAAACAUAAUAUACAGUGCCUGGAAGUCUACCUUCCUCAAAGACCAGACCCAAGCAGCUACAGCAAACAGUAGAGCCCCUAACCCAUCUACCUAAAGCCUAGCUUCCUUGUUUCCUGGCUGACAGCUAACUCAGAUGAAUGAGGCUGACAGUGACUUCCUUGUUCAUGCCUAAGAACAGCAGCCUCAAAAGGCAUAACUUUAGUCUUGUGAGUUUAACAGCAAAAAUAUAGCAGAAUAUAAUGCAGUUGCAGCAUCCCUAAAGAAAGGUGCAUGCAUGUAAUACACAUACGGAGAUUGGUUUUGCCUGUUCAUACUUGAUGAUUAAUUUUUGUUAGUAAAAUCUUAAUGACCACCAUUUCCAAAAUCAGUCUUUCCUGUAGUGUUAACCAUUUCUGUAAAUCAUUUAGAAAAUAAGAGUAGCUACCAAUUUUUAAUUUGCUUAUUAUUUAUAUUUUAUAUAAAACUUUGGAAAUAUAAAAUUCUGUAAAGCUUUUUGUUGUUUGUAAAAAAUAAUCCUAAAAUGUAUGUCUUUUUUAAACUGUUAAUCAAAUUUUUCAUGAUACCUUAUGAAUAAAAUAUGGUCCAGAUGCUAGCAUUGUUUGGUAGAGUUUGAAACUAUAUGAACCUUUUCUGAAGAUUGUUAAUUCUAUUUCAUUGAUUCUAUUUCAUUGUGAAAGUAGAUUUCUAGCUGGAUUCUAUAGUCUACAAGCCCAUAUCCCAUAUUAUUACUAAUUUUCAUAUAGAAGAAAUGAUUACAUGAAGCUGUGAGGGGGAAAUAAUAACUAGAGAUUAAAAUAUAAACAUUCAAAAAUACAGUAACUUAAUGAGCAUUGGGUCAAAACAAGUAGAAAACUUGGCUCCAUUUAAUGAGCACCUCCCAAGUUCCAGUCACUAUAGAUAUUCUUCAGGUGGUAUUUGUAAACCUAGGGAGGAUUGUACCUCCAUGGUCCUUUUAAUCUCUCAGAUUCUGGGUUAGGACAAACAUUUUUCUGGGUUAGCAGUUUCUUGGGUAAUGACUAAUUUUCUUUUCUAGCAAAAACUGAAGUAAUUUUUGAAGUCAAUUUAAAUGAAGUCCCAGUGUUUCCUUUUUUAAAUUAAAGAGUUCUAAUGCAACUUAAAUAGGUUCUUGGUCAUUAUAUUCUAAAUUACUAAUUCAUUAAAACCUACAAUUUUAAAUCUGCUCAAGCCCCCUUAUUCUUCAAGAAAAGAGAUUGAGCCUCAAAGAAGUUAAGUUGCACAUCCAAAGUAAUGUUUCACAGUAAUGACCUGGUCAGGACCAGAAUCCAGGUCUCUUGACUUGACUUGAUUUUACUAUAGCAUGUCUCCACUCUCAUGCUAUAAGUUCUCUUUUUCUUGUGCUGUCUUCCCAAUUCUUUUAUAUUUACAAGUUGAAAAAGAAAUUCUCAGAGGUCCAUUUGGAGCCUGCAAUGUGAAUAAAAAGAAGUUCAUCUUUAUAUUUAAUCCACAAUAUGGCUAUUGAAGAAUAGAAGAUCAUCUUGAAAGCGAUGAUGAGUUCAAGUGUGUAGUAAUACCAUUUUUACAGGUAAAAUUACUCUUAAUUUGUGAAGAACUAAAUUUCACAGUCGGGUACUUGACAACCGUUAUACAAGUCUGAGGUUUUCUAAUGAAUUCUUUUUCUUUUUUCAGGAUGAAUAACAUCUGAAUGUAUUCAUCAGUAUGGCAUAAUGUGUAUUGGAUUUUAAUUUUAUUUCAGAAUGUAUUUUCUAUCAAAUUUCAUAAUAAAAUCUCAGCAAGGUCUGUUUGUCUUUUAUAUCACAGUACGUCCUGUGGAUGCAUUUCUUUUUCCAUAGAACCGUCUUUUUCUUACAUUGGAAGAAUGUAAAAAGAUCUUUCCAGAAAUAACUUAUUGUUUGAUUCCUAAUAUAAAGUAAAUUAAUCCAAAUUAAAUUACUGAAAUAAUUUCUUUGUCAAGUAUUGUUCACGAAGAUGGCACUGAAGGCAAAAGAAGGAAGCUGCUGACCCUCCCAAAGCUGAAGCCAAAGCAAAGACUUUGAAGGCCAAGAAAGCAGUGCUGAAAGGUGUUCACAGUCACAAAAAAGAAGAAGAUCUGCACAUCACGGCAUUCCGAUGGCCCAAGACACUGCAUUCUCCAAAGGCAGCCCAAAUAUCUCAAAAGAGCACCCCCAGGAGAAACAAGCAUGACCACUAUGCAAGUCCCCCUAACUACUAAGUCAGCCAUGAAGAAAAUAGACAAUAACACAACUUGUGUUCAUUGUGGAUGCCAGGGCCAACAAGCACCAGAUCAAACACGCUGUGAAGAAGGUCUUUGACGUUGUGGCCAAGGUGAACACCCUGAUUAGGCCCAGUGGAGAGAAGAAGGCAUAUGUUCAACUGGCUCCUGACUGUGAUGCUUUGGAUGUUGCCAACAAAGUUGGGAUCACCUAAGCUGAGUCCAGCUGGCUAAAUCUAAAUAUACAUUUUUUUAACCAAAAAAAAAAAAAAAGGUGGCAUGUUCUACCAUUAUUUGCUGUAUUAGUUUGCAAGUAGCUGCCGUAACAAAAUACCAAAGAUUGGGUGACUGAAACAACAGAAAUUUAUUUCCUCUAGAAUAGCUCUGGAGGCUAGAAGUCCAAGAUCAAGGUGUUAAAAGGUUUGGUUUCUUCUUGGCUUGCAGAUGGCUGCCUUUUCAUUGACUCUCAUAUAAUCUUCCUUCUCUGCAGGUGCAGCUGUGGUGUUUGUGUGUUUAAAUUUCCUCUUCCCGUCAGAUGAGAUGAGGUGUACCACUAAUGGCCUCAUUUCAGCUUAAUCACCUCUUUUUAAAAGCCCUGUUUCCAAAUACCUCAAAUUCUGAGGAAUUGAAGGUUAAUGCUUCAACAUACAAAUUUUGGAGGAACAAUUCCGCAUAUAACACUUAGGGUUUUGUAACAUCUUUUAUUCUGUAGAAAAUGCUGCAGAGUUUAUUAUGAUAUCCUAGACAUUAAGUUUUACGAAUUUAUGGGAAGCAAAUAGAAAUGGGAAAAAUAUUGAAGACUAAAGCUAUAAGAGUUCAAGAAUUAGAAGAACGUGCUAUAGCUGAAUCUUUAAGAGAAACUUUAAAGAUUCCCCUUCAUUUCAGGUAAUGGAUAUGUGUUCCAUAUUUCAAAAGUGAUCUAUUUGAUGAAUAGGCCUGUGUUUAAUUUGCCCUUUUUUUCUUUAUUUGUGAGAAAAUUCAGCUUCUUUCUGUAGAAGUAAAAUUCCAUUGACAGUUUGUGUUCAUUUAUUUAUUCAUUCAUCACCAUGCUCAUUGACCACACAUUGUUAUACACAUACACAGAUGCAGUAUUUUGCAAGAUAAAUAUUAUCUCCAAACUCAUGGAAUUUAUAUUCUAACAUGGGAGAUAAACAUUGAUAGGUAUUGAUAUUAUUAGUUCUAAUUGGCUAUUAAAAUAUUGUGUGAUAAGUGGCAAGAAGUUCUACUUCGUCUCACUUGCCCUUGGAUUCUUUGCCAUAUCUCAUAAGCUGAUUUUUAGUCUUGUUACUAUUCUGAUUUUUAAAAUUUAAUAUGCAUACAUUUCAACAUUUUGCUUGAAAAGAGUGGUAUUGGUUCUCUGCAGGUGGUGGAAAAACUGAUAUUGUCACCUCCUUUUAAUUAUUGAACCUCAUAAACAAAGAUUUGGUUUUUUGGCAUCUUCAUACUGCCAUAAUAAGUCCUUUUACCUGUUAUUCUUGGUAUACUGUUUCUGAUAAAAGUCACAUUCCAAAAAGCAGAAAUUAUACUUCUGUUUUCCUUUCUUUUAAGAAACCUUCCCUUAGAAAAAUAAGAUGUGGAACACAGUAGAUGGAAAAAUUAAAGCAAAAUUAUAAAACAGCUACCUAAUUUCAAAGAAGCAAUAUGAAUCUCCAUAAUUGAGAAACUUUACAAAGAUUUGUACAGUGGCGAAGAACUGAAAAGUAUCAGCCAUGACAAAACUGUCAUCUGUGGUACAGGGGUCCAAGCAGUGCUCUUGAGAUUUGUUUCUCUCCUUGCUGUUGAAACUACCAUUGCAGACAUGAUUUGUGAUCAUGCAUCACUUCAUUUAUUCGUACCAAGCAAAUGAAGCUCUUUACUGCUUACUCAGCCAGUCAGCUUGAUAUCUUCAUUCCAGUUUAUAAGAAGGGAGUAGAGACUCAGGUUUACAGCCUGCCAAGACAUAUCUCUGAUACCAGUUUUCUUCAGAUUGAAGAAACUGUUGUCAUUUCCGUCGUUUCUGCUGUGGACAAAGGCAUAAGAAAAGAGAGCUAGUUUAUAAUCUCUAGUGACAAAAGAUUUCAAAACUAGGAAGAUAUUGAGUACAGGGAGCAAGAGUUGAAGAAGAGAAAAACAGACAACUUAAGGGUCUUCCAAGAAUGCAUUCAAAUCUUAUGUCUUCAGUUUGAAAGCCUCACUGGGAGUUGAGUAACUUCAAAGCAUGAGCAGAAGUUUCUUUAUACAUGCAAUGAAAUCAGCUGACAAGGUAACUGGGUUGGCAAGUGCUUCUGAGACUCCUAAGAAGUAAAAAUAUGAUCACCAAAAAUUGCUGGAUAAAGUCUACAACUGCUUCAUCCACAGAAUUAUACUAGGGUACAGAGUAUAUGCUAGGAGAACUGAUCUGCCUCGUGUGGACCUGCCAUCAAGGAGGUUGACUAAACAGACCUGAAAACAAGUAUAUUCCCUAGAAGUCACAAAAUUAAAAGAUAAAAAUAUAUGGCCUAAAUUUCAACUUUAGAUCUUAGGUUUGGGGCUUAGCCUCCCACAGAAAACAGCUGUGAAACUAGUCAAAAUAUAUCAGCUCUUUCUAGGCGUUGAGCAACAGGCAAGUCUAGGGCUGCCAUCCUUGAGAGAAAGGAAGAAUACAAGGUGAGCUGCAUGACCUCCUCGGGUUUCUGUGGUGGAACAGUUUCCUUUUGCAGGGCAGGGUGGGUGGAACUCAGGAGGAGCUGCAGUCUCAUCAAGCUAAGGAGGCAGAGAGUGGCAUUCUGGGCUGCUAAAGUGACUAGAAUUUGUGAGAUACUGUACUUGAGAGGAAGGAACUUCACAGAGGAGAUUUCCUAGAGUUCUGGGGCUGGGGGGGGUGGAGCUUAAAUCAGGUUCAACUCCAGGCUAAAGCUAUACCUGAGCUGGGCAAGACUCUAAGGCCUAGCAGCACCCACCUGCUAUGAGUCUGAGAGCUGGCAAGGAUACCAGCAGUCAUGCAGGGCCCGGAAUUGUUGCCAUUAGACGUUGCUGAACACCUUGGUCAUUCUGGGUAUCCCAGAAAGGCCACUCCAUAAGAGUAAGGAUCACUUCUUAGCAUAAAUGCCGUAUCCUAGAACUAAAUUCAAACUGAAAUAGACCUACCCUAACAAAGAAUAAAACCUGAUAAAACCAAGGAUCCACCAGUAAUUUAACAGCAAGACAGAGCAAAGCUCAACACCUACUAAGAUGCAUGAUAUAAUACAAACUCCAUUCAACACAUUAUCCACUCUGCCUAGUAUCCAAUCAAAAGUUCCUAGGCAUGUGAAAUAAAGAUUCAAAAUCAAAAGUAGAGAAAAUGUGACCCAUAAUUAAAAAUUAAAAAAAAAUUAGUAGAAACAGACUUAAAGAUGACCUAGAUGCUGUAAUUAGCUAAGGAUUUUUAAAGCAGCUGCUAUAAUGUGUUUUAGUACUGAAAAGAAAAAAAAAAUGGUCACAAUGAGUGAACAGAUAGAGAAUUAGAGAAUAGCAGCAGCAGCAAAGAGAAAAUAGCAACUUUAUAAUGAAUAAAAUGAAAAUUCUAGUACUGAAAGUUCAAUAUCUGAUACAAUAAAAUUACCCAGAUAAGUCCCUAUCCCGGGAUAGAAACUACAGAAGAAAGGGCUAUGGAACUUGACAGCAGAUAAAUACAAAUACAGUGUGGAAUGCCGAGGAUCUAAAUCCUUCCCCACCCCCUCCUUUUGCUCUUCCCCUUGCCAUAAGUGUUCACAAAAAAUAGAAAGUUACAUUCAAAAGUAGGCAAUAAUCAGUCUGGCUUUAGAUUUCUUAGCUACACACAAUGCUAUAAGAAAAUGGGACAAAUUGAGUUUUGAGGGGAUAUAGUUGUAAGCUGGGACUUGUACAUGUUACCAAAUUUCUCUGAUCCCUGUUUGUCUUUGUUUUCAGCUAAACAAAAGUUUGUAAAAUACUAUGUUCAUAUGCCUUUCUUUUAAACUUAAAAAAAAAAAGCUACUUCUUAAAGACAUACUUUAGAAGACCUUGGGGUUUGGGGAAGUUGUACUAGAAAUGAUUGUCCCCUAUGGAACGCUCUCCUAAGGAAAUAAUCAAAAUAUAUGAAAAUAUUUUUGUACAUUUUUAUUGCCUUAUUUAUUGGAAAACUUAUUGUUCAGUAAGUGUUCGUAUAAAUAAAUAUGCAGCCAUUAACAUAUACUAACAACUGAGGAAAGAAAAUGUUUCUUUUAGUAGUGGAAAAAAGUAGGAUACAGAUUUGUAUAUUACAUAAAAUGGAUAUUAAAAAGCAGGAAAUAUGCAAACAUCUUGCCUCUUGAUUAUGGGCAUUUAUGGUGGCUAUAUUUUCUGUUUCUAUAUUUUCCAAAUUUUCUGUAAAGAACACACAAGUCAAAAAAGCUUAAAGAUAAAAUGCAUAUGUAUGAGAGGACAGUUAGAAGAUGUUAAUCUAUUAAUGCCUGUGAAUCUAUUGAUUAAGACUGUGUUUUUCAUAUAAAAAUUCUAAUUUUAUACAUUGAAGAAAAAAAUGUAAGCUUUAAAAUAUUUGGGAAGAAGAUAAAGAACAUUGUCCCAAGUGAAGGAUGCCUUACACAGAAGUUUAUACCAUGUAAUUUCAUGCAUAUGAAGUUCUAGAAUAGGCAAAAUUGAUUGAUGGUGAAAAAAAAAAUCAGAACUGGAUAUUUCUAGAGAUGAGGACAGGAUUGGGAAGAAUAUGCAUGACCUUUCUUGGAUGUUGAUGAAUUUCUAUAUCAUGUUAAGGGUUUGAGUUACAUAGGAGUGUACAUUGUCAAAACUCAAUAGGUAUUUAAGAUUUGUUCAUUUGUAUGUAAAUUUUACAGCAAAAGAAAAAAUACUGUCAACAAACGAGUGGGGAACAUACAGUUUUGUGAAAAUGUACGAAGUCUGAGUUACUCCUUGCUGGCUUUAUCUUUUACCCUGGAACAUGGGUGUUCCAGGGUAAAAAAGUUACAAGUGCAGUGUACUCUAAUUGGCACCUUGUGCAUGCAUCUGUUAGUACUUGGUACAUUGCAGUGGAGUUAUUUCAUUCCUCCAAGGGGCUGUGAACUCUUGGAGGGCAGGAAAUCCCUGCCUUCUGGCACGUGGCUGGCGUGUGCCCAAUAAAUAUUUAAUAGGUUAGUAAGUAUCCCUCUGCCUUUGUCUCCACCUCUACAUGUAACAAAAAUAUUUUUCUCUUCAUUAAAAUUAUUAGUUCUGUAUCUUUUUUAUAAUAUUAAUUGGUAAGUGGAAUUAACACAAAAUAACAAAGGUUAAUAUUUUAACAUUGUCAUUUCAAGUUCUUUGUUCAAGGAAAUUGCUCAAAAUUAUAUCAAGGUGUUAUAGCAGUGUGGCUUAAAUAUUUUGAACACUGUGAUUGAGUUUGUGGUCAGGUUGUGGGUCUCCAGUUGCAAA